Amphiprion ocellaris (clown anemonefish) is the source of this 995-nucleotide long non-coding RNA. RefSeq lists it as uncharacterized. The transcript has 2 exons. The record is from RefSeq and is a predicted model, not a curated record. NCBI's taxonomy places the organism in Eukaryota, Metazoa, Chordata, Actinopteri, Pomacentridae.
UCCUCAGACUGUCUGAAGGUUCAAACUAAAAGAGAACUACUCAGGAACUUAGAAGAUUUCAGUCCUCAGACUGUCUGAAGGUUCAAACUAAAAGAGAACUACUCAGGAACUUAGAAGAUUUCAGUCCUCAGACUGUCUGUCUCAAUCGUACGACGUAGUGUGUAACUGUAUGCAGCACAGUGAGCCAGCAUACUUGUUUCCGUUUUCACGCCGUCUACAUCAACAGAAUGCACUGAAACUUUCCCCCACUAGCUUAGCCUCGCCGUAGCACGCAGCUCAAAGGGGCGUGUCCUGUCUACUCAUUCAUAUCUAUGACAACAACGAUGGCUGCAAAUAAGGACGCCUGAUGUUCAUUAGCUGCGUAAAUACUAUUAUAUACAGUCUAUGGUAAAUACGUAUGUGAAUCGCAUCAUUGGCUGCAGCAGCCAGUCACCGGUCAUUCACUGACUCACAUUGAAAAAUAGCACAGAAUGAAUUGUUACGUGUUUAUUUUAUUUACAAUUUAGGUUGGAUUUUUUUUUUUUGUGCGCAGCGCAGAUUUUCUGUGCGCGGAGACCGUGUCAGCAGUGCGCAAUUGCGCUUAGAGGGAACAGUGCUGGAGAGCGUUUGUGAUGCUGAAGCAGUGAUCAGUUUUUCUGUUUCUUCUCUGGAGAUGCACAAUGAGGGACGUCUGCAGAGACUGAGAAAGAGUCUCACCACAUCCUGACAUGAGGAAAAAGACUUUAUUGAAGACUACAAUGAGAAAAACUAUCCAGACAGCAGACGGCUGCAUUCAAGUCUGUAGCUGCUGAAUUCAUGGAUGAAUCAUCUGGCACUAGAGAGGAAGACCAUCAAACAUCCACGUCAGCUGAUGGAGGUCCAAGAGUCUCACCAAACAAACAACCUACAGAGUGAAGACCUCGAAUCUGAUUGGACGGCCUCCUAUUCAGCCACAUGUGUGAACAAAUGCCUCUAAGCUGAUUUGUUUUCUAAAAUAAAUCUAGUUUGAGUCCUAA